AAGCAGGAUCUGUCUCACCAUACACUGAGAACUGUAGAAUAUGCAAGGCACAUGGAACUUAUUUUCUUACGUAUAAAAGCGUGUAUAUGCUCCUUAUACAUCUGUCCUAAUGCUUUCCAACAGUCCUCACUCUAAGCCUCACCAAGACCCAGAUGAGGAAACAAAGGCACAGAGGGAUAAACUCAGAGCAGGAAGACAGCAAGGAAUAGCAGUGAAAAGCAUGGUGCUUAAUCCAACCCCUUACUCACUGCUGAGACCUGGAAAUGUGUUCAUCAGCUACAAAACAGGAGAGAUGAUAACUCAUUAUGUAUAUGUGAUGAUAAACAGAGACAAUAUAUUGAAGAGCUUAUAUGAGUGGCAGACACGGGACAUGCUUCCCUGUGGCUGGCCAGCGUGUCAUCUUCUCCAUGUGUCCAGAGAAAAGCUUUGCAAAUCAACCUCUCGAUGAAUGAUGACGGCACCAGUGAAAUCAGGGGAGGCAGAAAAUCAUGUUAGUUUGGUUUAUAAUGCAAGAAGUUACAGAACACAGAGUGCUCAAAACUAAGAAUGUGCUAGUUGUAUAACAGGGUCCUUCUUGGGACUCAGCCAGGAUUCAAACUAUAAAGGAAAAUCGGGUGAGCAGGUGGGAUAGUCAAGUGAUUCUAUUUGCAUGAAUAAUUUUGUGAGAUGAUACCUUCUUGUCCAGGAACAUUGAGCAGUGCUCGUGCUGGGUGGAUUGUGAUGUGGAAACCCUGGGAGAUGUCACGUCUGACAUCAACUUUCUCCCAGGUGACAGCUGCACCCUCUAAAGGCUUCUCAAAUGACAGAGCUCAAUGAAUAUAGAAGGGAAAAGUAUGAGGAUGACCUAUGAGCACAGGGUGGACAGUCUCUGCGGUGGGCAGGCAUUAGCAAAGGAGAGACCUUCUGUAUUAUGCAGAGUGGAAUUUUCCAGAGGCUACAUGAUGAGUGACGUCACGACAGAUUGAGUACAGAGCCAACUAUGAGAAUCCAGCUGCCUUCUAUUAAGGUACCCUUUCUGUGGAUACCUUCAAGUUCCAGCACCAAAUAUGAAGGCGACUGCCAUCACCAGCUCCCACCCCUACAUGAGGUCAAAUCCCUGGAUGGCAUAUAACACACUAGAGCAAUUAAGAGGAUCUAACUAAAGGUGGGGAAGGAAAAAUGUGUGUACAGAGACAGGAAGUCAUGGACACAGUUAUAUUGAAAGAUACAAUGACCUCCUC
Molecule: long non-coding RNA, 1220 nt
Filed under: Homo sapiens (human)
Lineage: Eukaryota; Metazoa; Chordata; Mammalia; Primates; Hominidae
Description: non-protein coding lnc-SHC3-2:5
Source: RNAcentral